AGAUUGAACGCUGGCGGCAUGCCUAACACAUGCAAGUCGAACGGGAGUAGCAAUACUCUAGUGGCGGACGGGUGAGGAAUACGUAGGAAUUUGCCCUUAAGUGGGGGAUAACCCGGGGAAACCCGGAUUAAUACCGCAUGACCUCGAAAGAGCAAAGUGGGGGAUCGCAAGACCUCACGCUUUUGGAGAAGCCUACGUCGGAUUAGCUAGUUGGUGAGGUAAUGGCUCACCAAGGCGACGAUCCGUAACUGGUCUGAGAGGAUGAUCAGUCACACCGGAACUGAGACACGGUCCGGACUCCUACGGGAGGCAGCAGUGGGGAAUAUUGGACAAUGGGCGCAAGCCCGAUCCAGCAAUGCCGCGUGUGUGAAGAAGGCCUGGUGUAAGCACUUAAGUUA
This 398-nucleotide ribosomal RNA is filed under the name uncultured soil bacterium. Its description in RNAcentral is "bacterial SSU rRNA". It matches the Rfam family "Bacterial small subunit ribosomal RNA", at positions 26 to 441 of the family's 1533-position model. The record is from RNAcentral.